Molecule: ribosomal RNA, 305 nt
Filed under: uncultured bacterium
Lineage: Bacteria
Description: bacterial SSU rRNA
Rfam family: Bacterial small subunit ribosomal RNA
Source: RNAcentral
GCCUACGGGGGGCAGCAGUGAGGAAUAUUGAUCAAUGGUCGGGAGACUGAACCAGCCAAGCCGCGUGAGGGAUGAAGGUACAGAGUAUCGUAAACCUCUUUUGUCAGGGAACAAAGGCGGGGACGUGUCCCCGGAUGAGUGUACCUGAAGAAAAAGCAUCGGCUAACUCCGUGCCAGCAGCCGCGGUAAUACGGAGGAUGCGAGCGUUAUCCGGAUUUAUUGGGUUUAAAGGGUGCGCAGGCGGUCUGUUAAGUCAGAGGUCAAAGGCCGGGGCUCAAACCCGGCCCGCCGUUGAAACUGGCAGU